Molecule: ribosomal RNA, 265 nt
Filed under: uncultured bacterium
Lineage: Bacteria
Description: partial 16S ribosomal RNA
Rfam family: Bacterial small subunit ribosomal RNA
Source: RNAcentral
CCGGCGACCGGCGGACGGGUGCGUAACGCGUAUGUAACCUACCUUUGACAGGGGGAUAACAUCGAGAAAUUGGUACUAAUACCCCAUAACAUCACCGGAGGCAUCUUCGGUGGUUGAAAACUCAGGUGGUCAGAGAUGGACAUGCGUUGUAUUAGCUAGUUGGUGAGGUAACGGCUCACCAAGGCGACGAUACAUAGGGGGACUGAGAGGUCAACCCUCCACAUUGGUACUGAGACACGGACCAAACUCCUACGGAAGGCAGCAG